RNAcentral lists this ribosomal RNA (256 nucleotides) under uncultured Rhizophagus. Its description in RNAcentral is "partial large subunit ribosomal RNA". It matches the Rfam family "Eukaryotic large subunit ribosomal RNA", at positions 359 to 630 of the family's 3401-position model. Lineage: Eukaryota; Fungi; Glomeromycota; Glomeromycetes; Glomerales; Glomeraceae. The record is from RNAcentral.
GAAAGAUGAAAAGAACUUUGAAAAGAGAGUUAAACAGUACGUGAAAUUGUUGAAAGGGAAACGAUUGAAGCCAGUCGUACCUUCGGGUAAUCAGCCUUUCGGGUGCGAUUCUGUGGGGUUUGAGGAGCUUAACACCUUCAUGCUUUGCAUAUUCGUGCUCUUGGGUGUACUUGCCCGUGUGGUUGGUUAACAUCAAUUUCGGGCACCAUAAAAUGGCUGGAGGAAUGUAGCUUCGAUCUUGUAUUGAAGUGUUAUA